Molecule: transfer RNA, 71 nt
Filed under: Basilepta fulvipes
Lineage: Eukaryota; Metazoa; Arthropoda; Insecta; Coleoptera; Chrysomelidae
Description: tRNA-Lys
Source: RNAcentral
CAUUAGAUGGCUGAAAGUAAGCAAUGAAAUUUUAAAUCAUAUUAUAGUAUAUUAACACCUACUUCUAAUGA